AGUGAACGCUGGCGGUAGGCCUAACACAUGCCAGUCGAACGGCAGCACAGUAAGAGCUUGCUCUUACGGGUGGCGAGUGGCGGACGGGUGAGGAAUACAUCGGAAUCUACUUUUUCGUGGGGGAUAACGUAGGGAAACUUACGCUAAUACCGCAUACGACCUACGGGUGAAAGCAGGGGAUCUUCGGACCUUGCGCGAUUGAAUGAGCCGAUGUCGGAUUAGCUAGUUGGCGGGGUAAAGGCCCACCAAGGCGACGAUCCGUAGCUGGUCUGAGAGGAUGAUCAGCCACACUGGAACUGAGACACGGUCCAGACUCCUACCGGAGGCAGCAGUGGGGAAUAUUGGACAAUGGGCGCAAGCCUGAUCCAGCCAUACCGCGUGGGUGAAGAAGGCCUUCGGGUUGUAAAGCCCUUUUGUUGGGAAAGAAAAGCAGCAGGUUAAUACCCCGCUGUUCUGACGGUACCCAAAGAAUAAGCACCGGCUAACUUCGU
This 491-nucleotide ribosomal RNA is filed under the name uncultured bacterium. Its description in RNAcentral is "partial 16S ribosomal RNA". It matches the Rfam family "Bacterial small subunit ribosomal RNA", at positions 29 to 506 of the family's 1533-position model. The record is from RNAcentral.